AAGUCGUAACAAGGUUUCCGUAGGUGAACCUGCGGAAGGAUCAUUUUCGAAACAAACCCUUUAUACCAACCAACCCAUGUGAAGCGUUGAUUGUUUGAUUUUACUCUCGCCUCGCGGCACAACAACAUCUGCCGUCGUGCAGAGCCGUUUGAGGGGAGAGGCCUUGAUGAACUACCUCGAUGAGGUUGAUUGCUAUCGUAUUUCUUUUGACAGACCACUUUUUUCUCUUGAAAAAAAGAGAGAGAGGCGGACUGAAAAAAAUAAAUGAUACGACAACUUUUAACGGUGGAUCUCUUGGCUCGU
RNAcentral lists this unclassified non-coding RNA (303 nucleotides) under fungal sp. RNAcentral describes it as "partial internal transcribed spacer region". The stretch from base 1 to 46 matches the Rfam family "Eukaryotic small subunit ribosomal RNA", at positions 1786 to 1831 of the family's 1831-position model. The record is from RNAcentral. Lineage: Eukaryota; Fungi.